GUGCAUAGUUCAGCAGCACCCAUACUAAAAUGGGAACCAUACAGAAAAGAUUAGCAGGGCCUCUGCACAAGGAUGAUUUCUGUUUUAGUCUGGUUUUUCAUUGCCAU
Molecule: small nuclear RNA, 107 nt
Organism: Sciurus vulgaris (Eurasian red squirrel)
Lineage: Eukaryota; Metazoa; Chordata; Mammalia; Rodentia; Sciuridae
Source: Ensembl